CCUCGUCGUACUCCUCGAGCAGCUUGGCGAGGUCGUCGUCGCAGGUGACGGAGAUGAGCGCGUCCAGGUCCUCCGUCGGUAGCUGACACCGCAGGUGCGCUUCCCAGCCGCCGCACAAUUCCCUCAGCUUCCGCUGCAACACUGCCGACAGAAAUAAACGGCAACUGAAGUCAGAGAAAUCAAAGGAUUGUUCAGUGGACUCGUGUCGAUUCGCCGGCACAAAUAUAUGUACUACCGUAAAACCGGAUGGGACGGUCGACGGAGAGGACCCGGUUGUCGCCGCCGACGUAGCGCAGCGUGCCGUCGGUGCGGCGGGGCAGGAUCCUGCCGCCGUAGCUGCACAGGAACUUGACGCUUCCCUCGGCGUCGGCGACGGCGACGGCUGCGGCGCCCACAGAGUCCGGCUCGGUGACGCAGACGACGUCGUGGUCGGGCGACCCGAACGACGACGCGCAGGAUGAAGACGACGACCACGACGAAGUUCCCGCCAUGCUCUGGUAGCGAUCUUAGUAUGUAAGAGUAAGAGUAAGGUAAACUCAGUGGCCCGCUGGAUAGCUGCCCA
This 562-nucleotide long non-coding RNA is filed under the name Zea mays. RNAcentral describes it as "long non-coding RNA (ZMAY_LNC002179)". Lineage: Eukaryota; Viridiplantae; Streptophyta; Magnoliopsida; Poales; Poaceae. The record is from RNAcentral.